RNA transcript from Xenopus tropicalis (tropical clawed frog), 2261 nucleotides. RefSeq lists it as uncharacterized. NCBI's taxonomy places the organism in Eukaryota, Metazoa, Chordata, Amphibia, Anura, Pipidae. The record is from RefSeq and is a predicted model, not a curated record. The transcript has 7 exons.
GCGAAAGCAGCAGCAGUCGGUCUUUACUUCCCAGAGGGAUGGGAAAUGGCGCGGCCGCUGCUGGGUACAUUCUGCCUUCUCUCCUGGAUUUGCUGCAGCUCAGUCUGUUCUGCACUGAAGGUAUCGGAUCCUCCCUCUCACAAAGCCCUUCUGGGUUCUACAACUUCCCUCCCUUGCACCUUCUCUUUGGGCAAAUCUCCCAUUGACCACUCGGUGUUGUCCAUCAUCUGGACCUUCAGAGACAAGGAGAUUCUUAGGUACAACAAGGGUCGGACCCUCUCCCAAGCCGGACUGUCUCUGGAUGUUCAGGCCAUAGAGGAAGGGAGGGUGUCUCUGUCGGUCUCCAAUGUAACUGUCUCUGAUGAGGGAACCUACACGUGUGUUGUGAGUUAUAACAUGAAACAAGAACAUGUCAUGGAAUUACAAGUGGAAGCCGUUCCCGUGGUGACGAUAAGUAGAUCUAGGGCGAACCUGCGCUGCUCAGUGAGUGGGUUCUACCCUAUGGAUAUUGGGGUAACUUGGCUCAGGGAUGGGGAGCCCAUACCCCAUUCCUCUAACAUAGACAUAAGGACAUGGAGUAAUGCAGACGGCACCUACACACUGAGCAACUCACUGAGUGUGGCCCCUGGGGGAGGCCAGAGAGAGGGGACUUACUCCUGCCAAGUGGAACACAAGUCCCUGCCGGAGCCUCUUCUCAAGGAUCUCCAGUUGGUCUAUAGAGGAGAGGAGCGGAGAUAUACCCCAGAGACCGUUGUGGCGGCCAUAUUUCUCACCAUGCUGCUCAUUGGAGCCGGGAUAGCGGCGGCGCUUUGGUUUCUUGUCUACAGGAGGAAAUUGAAGCCCCAGGAUUCCAUGGCACUUUCCCUGAGUGACUCCGGAGAGGUUCUGAGCUGCCUGACCCUGCGGGAGUUUUACCCCAGAGGGAUCCAGAUCAGAUGGAGCUGUGGAGUUGUUUACUACGAGGAUCUGGAAUCCAAUGAGAAAGUUACUUUGAGCUCCGGCAGCAGCACCUUUAAUAUUGAGAGUGAGUGUAAGAUCCCGGGGCAACUCUUCAUACAUCCAGGAUUCAAAGUGCAAGUGACCUGGAACCAACAAUCCGGCGCCGGGCAGGGGUCCCGGGAGUUCUCUGCCAGGGAUUUUCCUUGGCGCCCACGGAUGGGGGAGAUAAUAAAGCCAGAUACCCUGAUACACGGCAAAGAGGGCAGAUUCCAGUGUAAGAUCUGGGGGUAUUUCCCACUGUGUCUGGAGCUGAGAUGGUUCAGGAUAGAAGUGGGGGUUCGGGAGCGGAUCCCCCUUUUUACCAGUGAGAAGUAUUUUCUGACGAUGGAGCCCGAGAGGCAAAGUGACGGAACUUUCUGUGGAACAGCUCUACUUAUUGUCUCUGUCGAUUCUGCCACUGAGCAGGGGGUGCAAUUUAUCUGCCAGGUCCGGCACCCCAGUCUGGGGGAACCCCUAGAGAGAAGCACCGGGGCCCUCAGUGUGACAGUGAAUUCAGCAGAACCAAGGCCUUUGCCGUAGAGGAGAAGAGAACCGGGUCACACACAGACCCAGAGACCAGCGGAAGGAUAUUUGGGGGCCGGCCAAUUAGCCCUGUUACAGAGACAUAAUAUUGGCACCAUAAGCAGCCUGGGGGGGUCGAUGCUUCAGCCAAACAUUGCAAUCUGAUGGCGAGGGGGCAAGAACAUGGCCCCCCCAUGAAUGUGCCGGAGCCUCCACCGGGGUUGGUGCUUCUACUAUUCCCAAGGCUAAAGAGGAGAAGGUACCGGCUGGAGUGUGAGUGCCACUAGGACUAUGGGAAAGCAGUCUGGGGGGUCAUCGGCCCAAAUGGGUCAACUAUAUGGAACGAGACAUUCAGUUACUUCUCAGGUCAAAGACAGUUCCUGGAGUCGUGUUCUACCCCUCAAUAAUGACAAUCUGGGUCUCUUAAAGGUCAACUAAGAAUAUAAUUUUUGCCAUUUAAAAGAAAAUAUAAUUCUAAGCCACUUUGCACUAUACAUUCAUUACACAUUUGUAAUUGUUUUUGCAUUAUUUGUAUAUAUAAUUGCUAUAAGAAGCAGUGUCUGACCUUUUCUAUUCCCUGCACUGGGGGUUCUGACUCCUGAAACAAUGUAACACAAGCCUGACUGUAACCCCCUGCCUGGAGUUGAACCAGGGGCCUGCAGGUUGCUAUGCAGUAUCAUGCACUACAGCUCUAUAUAUAAAUAAUAUAUUAUUAAUUAUAUAUAAAUAAUAAAGACUUUUGUAUUUUUAAAUCGACAGAA